UACGUAGGGACCAAGCGUUGUUCGGAUUUACUGGGCGUAAAGGGCGCGUAGGCGGCGUGGUAAGUCAGCUGUGAAAUCUCCGAGCUUAACUCGGAACGGUCAGCUGAUACUGCUGUGCUAGAGUACAGAAGGGGCAAUCGGAAUUCUUGGUGUAGCGGUGAAAUGCGUAGAUAUCAAGAGGAACACCUGAGGUGAAGACGGGUUGCUGGGCUGAUACUGACGCUGAGGCGCGAAAGCUAGGGUAGCAAACGGGAUUAGAUACCCCGGUAGUCCUAGCCCUAAACGAUGUAUGCUUGGUGUCUGGAGUGUUAAAUCUCCGGGUGCCGUCGCUAACGCUUUUAGCAUACCGCCUGGGGAGUACGCACGCAAGUGUGAA
Molecule: ribosomal RNA, 376 nt
Filed under: uncultured bacterium
Lineage: Bacteria
Description: bacterial SSU rRNA
Rfam family: Bacterial small subunit ribosomal RNA
Source: RNAcentral